RNAcentral lists this ribosomal RNA (591 nucleotides) under Pseudomonas aeruginosa. Its description in RNAcentral is "bacterial SSU rRNA". It matches the Rfam family "Bacterial small subunit ribosomal RNA", at positions 73 to 660 of the family's 1533-position model. Lineage: Bacteria; Pseudomonadati; Pseudomonadota; Gammaproteobacteria; Pseudomonadales; Pseudomonadaceae. The record is from RNAcentral.
AGGGAGCUUGCUCCUGGAUUCAGCGGCGGACGGGUGAGUAAUGCCUAGGAAUCUGCCUGGUAGUGGGGGAUAACGUCCGGAAACGGGCGCUAAUACCGCAUACGUCCUGAGGGAGAAAGUGGGGGAUCUUCGGACCUCACGCUAUCAGAUGAGCCUAGGUCGGAUUAGCUAGUUGGUGGGGUAAAGGCCUACCAAGGCGACGAUCCGUAACUGGUCUGAGAGGAUGAUCAGUCACACUGGAACUGAGACACGGUCCAGACUCCUACGGGAGGCAGCAGUGGGGAAUAUUGGACAAUGGGCGAAAGCCUGAUCCAGCCAUGCCGCGUGUGUGAAGAAGGUCUUCGGAUUGUAAAGCACUUUAAGUUGGGAGGAAGGGCAGUAAGUUAAUACCUUGCUGUUUUGACGUUACCAACAGAAUAAGCACCGGCUAACUUCGUGCCAGCAGCCGCGGUAAUACGAAGGGUGCAAGCGUUAAUCGGAAUUACUGGGCGUAAAGCGCGCGUAGGUGGUUCAGCAAGUUGGAUGUGAAAUCCCCGGGCUCAACCUGGGAACUGCAUCCCAAACUACUGAGCUAGAGUACGGUAGAGGGUG